GGCCAGGUAGCUCGGUGGUUAGAGCACCUGGGUAUAUGCCAUGGGGUCCUGGGUUCAAAUCUCAGCUUGGUCA
Molecule: transfer RNA, 73 nt
Filed under: Pisolithus tinctorius
Lineage: Eukaryota; Fungi; Basidiomycota; Agaricomycetes; Boletales; Pisolithaceae
Also listed under: 1 other name
Description: tRNA-OTHER
Rfam family: tRNA
About the family: Transfer RNA (tRNA) molecules are approximately 80 nucleotides in length. Their secondary structure includes four short double-helical elements and three loops (D, anti-codon, and T loops).
Source: RNAcentral